UAAAGCGCGCGUAGGCGGAUAUUUAAGUCAGAUGUGAAAUCCCUGGGCUCAACCUAGGAACUGCAUUUGAUACUGGGUAUCUAGAGUAUGGUAGAGGUGAGUGGAAUUUCAGGUGUAGCGGUGAAAUGCGUAGAGAUCUGAAGGAACAUCAGUGGCGAAGGCGACUCACUGGGCCAUUACUGACGCUGAGGUGCGAAAGCGUGGGUAGCAAACAGGAUUAGAUACCCUGGUAGUCCACGCCCUAAACGAUGUCAACUAGGUGUAUGGGAGUUUAACUCCUGUGUUCCAAGCUA
RNAcentral lists this ribosomal RNA (293 nucleotides) under uncultured bacterium. Its description in RNAcentral is "partial 16S ribosomal RNA". It matches the Rfam family "Bacterial small subunit ribosomal RNA", at positions 561 to 854 of the family's 1533-position model. The record is from RNAcentral.